GCGCACCAGGCGCGAAAGCGCGACGGGGCCACCCCGAGUGCCGCCCGCUGAGGGUGGUUUUCCCCGGUGUAGACAGCCGGGGGAAUAAGGAGAGGGCAAGUCUGGUGUCAGCCGCCGCGGUAAUACCAGCUCUCCGAGUGGUGGGGACGAUUAUUGGGCCUAAAGCGUCCGUAGCCGGCCCAGCAAGUCCUCCGUUAAAUACAGCGAUCCAAUCGCUGGACUGCGGGGGAUACUGCUGGGCUAGGGGGCGGGAGAGGCCGGCGGUAUUCCCGGGGUAGGGGUGAAAUCCUAUAAUCCCGGGAGGACCACCAGUGGCGAAGGCUGCCGGCUGGAACGCGCCCGACGGUGAGGGACGAAAGCCGGGGGAGCGAACCGGAUUAGAUACCCGCGUAGU
Molecule: ribosomal RNA, 394 nt
Filed under: uncultured microorganism
Description: bacterial SSU rRNA
Rfam family: Archaeal small subunit ribosomal RNA
Source: RNAcentral